ACCUUCUCAUGAGCUCCUGUUAAUCUACUCUAUGAUUAUACAUGGAUUCGCACGAGAAGCAUAGUCAGUGCACAGUAUGAAUGGAUUUUGCCCGUCUUUCAUAUGGGCACUACUAUAGUCUGCUGUGCUACACAU
Molecule: small nucleolar RNA, 135 nt
Organism: Cyprinodon variegatus (sheepshead minnow)
Lineage: Eukaryota; Metazoa; Chordata; Actinopteri; Cyprinodontiformes; Cyprinodontidae
Gene: SNORA75
Rfam family: Small nucleolar RNA SNORA75
About the family: U23 belongs to the H/ACA class of snoRNAs. snoRNAs bind a number of proteins (including dyskerin, Gar1p and Nop10p in the case of the H/ACA class) to form snoRNP complexes. This class are thought to guide the sites of modification of uridines to pseudouridines by forming direct base pairing interactions with substrate RNAs.
Source: Ensembl